RNAcentral lists this unclassified non-coding RNA (1387 nucleotides) under Hevea brasiliensis (rubber tree). The record is from RNAcentral. Lineage: Eukaryota; Viridiplantae; Streptophyta; Magnoliopsida; Malpighiales; Euphorbiaceae.
GAAAAAUCAAACUUUAAUGCUCUAAAAACACCCAGCAAAGGCACUAACUACAGCAUCACAAACAGCACUUUUACUAUUUAUGCAAGCAGUCAAAUUGAAAGCAAAAGCUAAUUAAUUAACAUUGUUAUAAGACUUAAGAGAUCAGUGUAGGAAUCUUUAGGCUUUUAAUCUUAUUUCAACUUUGUUUUCAUUUGUUUCAAGAUGAACAUCUUUCUAUCUACCCUUUCAGGCUCUCUUUUGACAGGGAGAUAUGGAAGAAAAGAAACUUCAAAAAGAGCUAUUGGGAAAGAGAGAGAGUUCUCAAAAGAAGUUAAGACCACAAUACAAAAGUGAACCCCCAAAAAAAAAAAAUUACCAGAGGGAAGAGCAAUUCCUUGUAUAUCUACAAGCUUUCUAAUAUUUACCAUCUUUUCCUCUUUCACAAGCUUUUCUCAAGCAAGAAAGGAAUACAAUGAGCAAGGAAACCCCAGCAAUAAGCCCAAUUAAUAUUGCAAGUGUCUUCUCUAUCUCAUCAUCAUUAUUGUUGUCAUUACCACCGUGCGAGUGAGCUCCACGCUCCGAGAAGCGAACGUAGCACUUGGCCAAGUACAUUUGACCCCAAGCGGCGGGCCCACAUUCCGUUUUCAGCCGCCCGACGGCGUCCGAUAUGCAAUCCUGGCACUCGGUUGCACUCAAAUCCUGUACACACUGAGCCACACCGUUAACGUCGCCGGACCCACCAACCCUGUAAGGCUUGUAGGACUCAUCACUGGCUCCCAAGUAGUCCAACACCGCAUCGCGCCUGGUAAACGCGUCAGACUCAUACCCAUUAAUCGACGGCCCGCAUUUCCUUAACACCACGGUCUUGUCCUCCACCCCCAAAAAACUGAUGUUGUCGUACUUGACGAAACACCCAUCGAGCUGCAGCGCUCCACCGCACGAGUCAAGGCAGAGUGUGCCGAGUUGACUGACGGCGCUAGCAACACAGCGAGCACAAUCCCCAUUGGAGAGGUCUCCACGGCAUUGGAAGAGGCCGUAAAGGGUGUCCUGUGAGGAGGAAGGACUCUGGACGGUGAAGUUGUUGUAGUUUGUGAAGGUGGCAGAGUUAACCAAGGAGGUGAGUAGCGAAUUGACGUUGGAUUCAUAAGGAGAGCCUGAGAUGUACUUGAGCUGUGAACAUCCACCGAAAAUGAAAGACUCGAGAGAGGAAGUUGAUGGGGUUGAAAGGAGGGAGAUUGUAAGAAGAGAAACAAAAGCUGUGAUUGUUAGAGACAUGUUUGAUGAGUUCCUUCCAGGGAGAGAAAGAUUGAAGGGUUUUGCUUUGUGGGAGGCUAUGAGUAUAACCGGAGCAGUGAUCGCUGGCAUUUGGCACUCUUUUUGAGCGUCUGUGAGAGAGAGAGAGAGAGAG